Molecule: long non-coding RNA, 1779 nt
Organism: Cyprinus carpio carpio
Lineage: Eukaryota; Metazoa; Chordata; Actinopteri; Cypriniformes; Cyprinidae
Source: Ensembl
UGCAGUCAUUAGGGUGGAACAAAAGAGAUGUGGCUUAUAUCAUGCAGUUUCCCCAGAGGUCAUGCCUUUGAGUAGCAGAAUCAUUUAAAAUGCUAUUCACGGAUUCACAGAAAACAGUUAGACGUGGAUUGUUCAGACAGCAUGGGCAGAAGGACUCAUGGAUGACCAUUAGGUUAUGGUGGUUUAAGGGCUCCAUACAGUAUGUGACGUUCCUUUGGCCUUGGACAAGACAAACGGCAGCCCAGCUAUAAAUUCCAGCUUUGUGAAUCUUACAACAUAGUCUUUGGUGAGAAAGAGUCAUAGAAUGGAUUCUGAGGUAUUACUUUCUAACCCCCAAACCUAAAAUUCACAAAUAAUACCUUUAAUGACAAUCCACAAAUAUGAACUUUCUGUAUGAGUAAUGUGUUCCAGUUUGAGAAGAUUUGUGUUUGAGAGGAACAGAUAUUAUGGCCAUAUAACGUGGGCAUUUAAAGGUAGCUCUGUUUGUUUCUCUUUUAUUGACUUCUUUUCGAGUCUACUUUUUCUUGCCCUGAUGACUAAGCAAAAGUCCCGCUAGUGAUUAUGUAUCAUUCUCAGACAUUAGAAAACAAGUGUCGUUCUUUUAGGUUUCUUACAGAGCGAACACAGACACACACACACAUUAUACAAUCAAAAAUCAAUAUUCUCUCCCUUAAACCUUCAAACCACUAGUGGAACAUUUUCGAUUGGUAUUGCGGUUUUGUAAACGUUUUUUAAUGAAUCUUUUAAUGGAUGAAUCUUUCUCAUUUAAUUCCAUGCAUUUGUAAAUCACUCUGUGUAAUUAUUCAACAAAUCAGUGAACAAAUCUUUUGGAGAACAGAUUUCAAAUUGUAGCAUUCAUUUCAUUCAAGCAGAUGAUUUGAGUCUUGUAUUCUUUCAGUAAGCUUGUAGAAUUGGUGACAUUUUCUCUGUACAUUAAACUGUGGGAUAAAGGAACAAAAACAUCAAAUAAAAUGACAUUAUUCACCUUUAAAAUAAUUAAAUCAUUUAUCAGAGAAACAGUGCUUAAAGUGAGAGCUCUGUUUUAAAUAUCAGAUCACUGUAUUUAUUGGAAGUCAUUUUCUGAAAUUUCUCUCUUUAUUUGCCUCAUGCAUUGCAGUCAGACAGGGGUUUAAAUAUUCCUGUGACUGUGGUUCUCAGUGCUCUCUGAAAUGCCUUUUAUGAUUUAAUGAUCAUAAUGCUCAGUCAGCCGCAUCAUCCUUUCAUCAAUUUCUCAAGUCUCUCUAUCUUUCUAUGAGGAAAUAUAUAUGUGUAUAUAUGGUCACUAUGCCUUUUUAUUAAUCAGAUCAAUAAAAUCAUGAAAGGAUGGGGUUGGUAGUAUUUUAUGUUUUUGAAAGAAGUCUUUUAUUCCCUCCAAUGCAAUUUUUAAAAAUACAGUAAAAACUGUAAAAUUGUCAAAUGUUAUUACAGUGUAAAAUAACUGUUUUAUAAUUGUAUAAAUGUUAAAAAUUAGUUUAUGAUGGUAAAGCUGAAUUUUCAGCAUCAUUACUCCAGUCUUCAGUGUCACAUAAUCCUCCAGAAAUCAUUCUAAUAUGCUGAUUUGUACUCAAGAAAAAUUUAUUAUCAUUAUCAAUGUUGAAAACAGUUGAAAACUGUGAUACUUUUUUUUUCUUUGAUGAAUAUAAAGUUAUUGCAUUUUUUAAAUAGAAUUUAAUAAACAUGUCUUUACAGUCACUUUUGAUUAACUGAAUCCAUUUUUGCUGAAUAAAAGUGUUCAGUGAAAGCAUAAAUAGGCUUCUGUGGAUAGUUGUUUUGCCUAUA